GCGCCAGUAGCUCAGCAGGAUAGAGCGGUGGAUUUCUAAUCCGCUGGUCGGGGGUUCGAAUCCCUCCUGGCGUG
RNAcentral lists this transfer RNA (74 nucleotides) under Polyangiaceae bacterium. Its description in RNAcentral is "tRNA-Arg". It matches the Rfam family "tRNA". From Rfam's summary of the family: Transfer RNA (tRNA) molecules are approximately 80 nucleotides in length. Their secondary structure includes four short double-helical elements and three loops (D, anti-codon, and T loops). Further hydrogen bonds mediate the characteristic L-shaped molecular structure. tRNAs have two regions of fundamental functional importance: the anti-codon, which is responsible for specific mRNA codon recognition, and the 3' end, to which the tRNAs corresponding amino acid is attached (by aminoacyl-tRNA synthetases). tRNAs cope with the degeneracy of the genetic code in two manners: having more than one tRNA (with a specific anti-codon) for a particular amino acid; and 'wobble' base-pairing, i.e. permitting non-standard base-pairing at the 3rd anti-codon position. Lineage: Bacteria; Pseudomonadati; Myxococcota; Polyangiales; Polyangiaceae. The record is from RNAcentral.